GAGUGGCGAAGGGAGAGUAAUGCAUAGAUUACCAACCCUUUGCUCUGGGAUAACUGGGGGAAACCUCAGCUAAAACCGGAUGGGCUCACGAUAGCGAUGCUUUUGUGAGUAAAUGGGGCCUCUUAACAAUGCUCCAGGCAGAGGACGGGUCUAUGUCCUAUCAGCUUGUUGGUGGGGUAAUGGCCUACCAAAUCUCACUUCGGUGGGGGGCGAUGACGGGUAGCCGGCCUGAGAGGGUGACCGGCCUCACUGGGACUGAGACACUGCCCAGACUCCUACGGGAGGCUGCAGUCGAGAAUCUUCCGCAAUGGGGGCAACCCUGACGGAGCGACGCCGCGUGUAGGAUGAAGGCCUUCGGGUUGUAAACUACUGUCACAGGUUAAGAAACGAUUGGGUGUUAAUAGCAUCCAGUCUUGACGAAGGCCUGAAAGGAAGCCACGGCUAACUUCGUGCCAGCAGCCGCGGUAAGACGAAGGUGGCGACCGUUGUUCGGAAUCACUGGGCAUAAAGAGCACGUAGGCGGAAAAGUCAGUCGGGUGUGAAAUCCCUCGGCCCAACCGAGGAACUGCGCCCGAUACUGCUUUUCUUGAGGGUUGGAGAGGAACGUGGAAUCCCUGGUGGAGCGGUGAAAUGCGUUGAUAUCAGGGGGAACACCGGCGGCGAAGGCGACGUUCUGGCCAAUUCCUGACGCUGAGGUGCGAAGCUAGGGUAGCACACGGGAUUAGAUACCCCGGUAGUCCUAGUCGUAAACGAUGGGUACUAGGUAGAGGGGGUCCAAUGGCCUCUUUGCUGGAGAUAAUUUAUUAUAAUACCCCCCCCUGGGGGAGGAUAGG
This 833-nucleotide ribosomal RNA is filed under the name uncultured bacterium. Its description in RNAcentral is "bacterial SSU rRNA". It matches the Rfam family "Bacterial small subunit ribosomal RNA", at positions 93 to 873 of the family's 1533-position model. The record is from RNAcentral.